CGUGGAGACAGGUGGUGCAUGGCUGUCGUCAGCUCGUGUCGUGAGAUGUUGGGUUAAGUCCCGCAACGAGCGCAACCCUCACCCCUGGUUGCCACCGGGUAAAGCCGAGCACUCGAGGGGAACUGCCAGCGUCAAGCUGGAGGAAGGCGGGGAUGACGUCAAGUCAUCAUGCCCCUUACGCCCCGGGCUACACACGUGCUACAAUGGCCGGUACAAAGGGACGCGAGACCGCGAGGUGGGGCUAAUCCCAAAAAACCGGUCUAAGUUCAGAUUGCAGUCUGCAACUCGACUGCAUGAAGGAGGAAUCGCUAGUAAUCGCGCAUCAGCACGGCGCGGUGAAUACGUUCCCGGGCCUUGUACACACCGCCCGUCACACCACGAAAGCUGUCUGUACUCGAAGUCGCUGAG
RNAcentral lists this ribosomal RNA (408 nucleotides) under uncultured Methylomirabilota bacterium. Its description in RNAcentral is "bacterial SSU rRNA". It matches the Rfam family "Bacterial small subunit ribosomal RNA", at positions 1027 to 1434 of the family's 1533-position model. Lineage: Bacteria; Methylomirabilota (SeqCode). The record is from RNAcentral.